RNAcentral lists this ribosomal RNA (406 nucleotides) under uncultured bacterium. Its description in RNAcentral is "partial 16S ribosomal RNA". It matches the Rfam family "Bacterial small subunit ribosomal RNA", at positions 30 to 526 of the family's 1533-position model. The record is from RNAcentral.
AUUGAACGCUGGCGGCAGGCCUAACACAUGCAAGUCGAACGAGUGGCGGACGGGGGAGUAAUGUCUGGGGAAAUGCCCGAUGGAGGGGGAUAACUACAGGAAACGGUAGCUAAUACCGCAUACCAUCGGAUGUGCCCAGAUGGGAUUAGCUGGUAGGUGAGGGAACGGCUCACCUAGGCGACGAUCCCUAGCUGGUCUGAGAGGAUGACCAGCCACACUGGAACUGAGACACGGUCCAGACUCCUACGGGAGGCAGCAGUGGGGAAUAUUGCACAAUGGGCGCAAGCCUGAUGCAGCCAUGCCGCGUGUAUGAAGAAGGCCUUCGGGUUGUAAAGUACUUUCAGCGGGGAGGCGUUACCCGCAGAAGAAGCACCGGCUAACUCCGUGCCAGCCGCCGCGGUAAUUC